ACAUACCACCCGCGACCAGGACCAUCCCAAUUCUCUUAUCCCUUAUUUCCUUUUCUUCAAACCAAGGGAAAACCAAAAACAGCAGUGGACGUGUACAAGCAGAAGAAAAAAUCCCACAUCACAACUUUAUCAACCCAUCCCGAACCAACCCGUAACCUGCCAUCCUUAGCCCUCACCAUGCGUCCCACGCAAACUCAUUUGUGAAAGCCUAGAAGCUUCCAAAAAUUGGUGAGUUGGCUUCUCCAACGAAUCAAUUCUGCAAAUCUCAGGUACCAUGGUACGAAUUCGUACCUAUCUGGUAGAUUUUCAUUGGUUUGGGGUACAUUUUGAUUUUCCCAAUUUGUUAUUGGUCCACCCAUUUUGAUUUGAGAAGAAAAAUUCAAAAUGGAGUACCAUUUUUGCAGAUGAAAACCAAACCAAAAUAAAAGGGGAAUGGAAAUUUUGAAUUUCAAAAUCUCCUUCAAAAAUCCCCAAUUUACCCCCCAAUUCAUCUUCUAUAUAAAGACCCUUGGGGUCACAGUUUAGGGGGUUGGAAAAAUUGAAGGCUGGUGGAGGGUUAGAAAAGUUAGGGUUUGAAAAUUGUUUGAAGAAAUUAGGUCGAGAAUUUUUCUUUUGGUUUUGAGAGUUUUUGUUCUAGGGUUUUAAAUUGGGGAAUUUUUCCUUUUCUUUUCCUCCUAGGUUCUCUGUGAGGAGUUCUCCUAAAAGCUGGAAAGGGAGAAAAUUUCAGGGCUUGAAGGAGGAGGGUUCAAAACUUCUAGGGUGUAGAAAUCUAAGGAGAGAAGAAUUUUAGUCACUAUUUAGGGGAUCUUCUUGAUUCUUUUCUUUCUCUUCUGGAAUUAGAAAUUCUUUGGGAAAAAUUCUAAGUGGUGGUAGUUGCAAUCUUGACAAAAUUUCGAGUCGUGUUUGCUGCCACGAAAUAGGUAACUCCCCGUUCCAUCGAAUUUCGUUCAUUUCUCCUUCAUCUCAAUCUUCUGUAGUUAUAAGUUUUAUAACGAUAUUGCUUGUUAGGUUGCCUAUUGUUAGAAGUUUUGAAGACUGUAGGUUGUUGGCUUAACGAAAAAAAAAUAUUAUUGAUUGAUUUUUGAUCGAAUACUCUCAUGUUUGUGUAACAACUUAAGGUUUGUGCAGCUGACCUCGUUAAAGUGUCGUGAAUUAAUAGUCUUCAGGUUGAUAAUAUGUGGUUUUAGAUGACUUUAUGUCAAAUUUCAUGUUUUGAUCAUUUUCAUUUUCGGAUUGGUGGUAUUCGGUUGUAGCUGACUUUACAGUAAAGUUGCAUGUUUUGACGAUUUUUGGGCUGAAGGUAUAUUGUUAUAGUUGAUUCCUAUGUUAAAGUUUGGUGUUUGGUUAGUUUCAUUUCAACGGUGCCUUGGUUUUGUAGUUGAGGAUUUUUGCUUUGAUCUUAUUCAAUAGUUCGAACCAAGGGUGUUUUGUGCGUAUUUGACUUCAUCAUGUUUGUCGUCAUUAGUUGAUGUUGUUGAACUAGUAGUGUCAUUAAUCGGACUUCCUCUUGAGUCUUUGGCUUCUCUUAUGACAAAGAACACGAGGAUAUGUCUGAUAAAAGUAGUGAAUCCCAUGAUUCCUCGAUGAUCGUUUUGACUGUUAAAACUCAUUUUGAUUUUGUCAAAAGAGGAUGAGGUUGAUAUUUGUGCCCAUCUAUCUCCCUUUUGGCUUUAUUUUUUCUCUUGAACUCGUUGCCAAUAUGUGGUCGGGAUAGGGAGAUGGAUGCGCUAGUUGCGAAUUUGGAGUAAGUCUUUUUAAAGAAAAUAGUCUAAUUUUGUUUUCUUUACAUGAACGGAGUGUCACAGUUUUUGGUUUCUUUGAAUAUCUGCUGAUUGGAUGAAAUUUAUGUUUAUACGUCCACCUCGCUUAUUUUCGUGUUCACUCUGUCUCUUGACUAGGAUGGGGGGGAAGGCUAUGUUUAUUCACGCAAUCCCCGAAACAACUAGCAAAUCAUUUUCUCUUCAUCUCUACUAACUUGAGAGUCUCAUAUAGUGUGGUAUAGGUUGGUUUAUUUGAAGUGCAUGACUGCAUUUCGAUUUUAGUGUUGGAAAUUAAUAGUGUUCUUGAUUUAAGUGAAACCCUCUUUGCUUUUGUUGAUUAGAUUGUCCUGUAUACACUGUACAACAUACAAGAAAAGAGGUGAAACAAAUUUAUCUUGGUUCAUCUGGAGCAUAAAUUUAAGUAUCUAUUUUUGGGAAUUAUCUUCAACUCUUCAAUUUUGUAUUCCAGUUGAAUGGUUUGAUAGCCAACUGAUACAAUUUUCUUAGUUUCUGUGUAUUCCUUCUCAUAAGUAAGCACCGGAACCUAUCAUUUUGUCAGAAGGAAUGGAUUGUGAUUUACUAUUAAUGUACGGUCCUUUAACAAAUAUUAUAGCAUCCCUCUACUACAACAAAAAAAACCAACAUUACGUCCUAUGGUUUCAUCUAAUGGUCAUCACAUGCGAUUAGGAAAAGUGAACUUUUACUAGAAUUCUUUCAUGCAUAUGCAUACUUUUAUGCCAAAGUCCAGCAUAAUAUGGUGUGUUCUCUUUGAUCUCUAUGUCAUGUCGCAUAUAUCACUAAUCUAGUAGCUAAGUUUCCUUUUAUGUAUCGAAAUAGUGAUUUUUUUUAGCAGCUUUGAACUUUCUGAAUUUUUUUUGUUAUAAAAGUAAUUCAUUUUUAUGAACGCGUAUUAAUUCAUAUAUCUUUUCUUUGCAUGCACCUCCCUUGGAGCCCAAAUGGGCUUCUCUCUUUGCAUUUCAUAAAUGGGCUAAUGAGGCCUAUCCUUCCGAGUCAAGCCCGGAUGAAUGCCCAAAGUUGAGCACGUGGCAUAUGGAUACGAGAAGUCGAAAGAGGAAUAAUGGAUUAAAAUCCCAUCUUUGAAGUGGCCAAGAUUUGUGCAGUUUCACUAAAACAUUCCUGUCUUGGUGUAGGAGCAUGUAAACUAUGAGCGAAUUGACUCUGUAGGCUUAAGACUCAAAAGACCAGCAUAUCUAAAUAUCAAGUCAAAGCACCUUCUGGAUUAACAAAAAUUUAUUUUUGAA
Molecule: long non-coding RNA, 3022 nt
Organism: Capsicum annuum
Lineage: Eukaryota; Viridiplantae; Streptophyta; Magnoliopsida; Solanales; Solanaceae
Exons: 2
Source: RefSeq, a predicted model, not a curated record